AGGAUGAACGCUGGCGGCGUGCCUAAUACAUGCAAGUCGAGCGGCAGCACGGUCUUCGGACUGGUGGCGAGCGGCGGACGGCUGAGUAACGCGUAGGAACAUGCCCCAAAGUGAGGAAUAACUGCCCGAAAGGGUGGCUAAUGCCGCAUGUGGUCUUCGGACUAAAGCUUUAUGCGCUUUGGGAGUGGCCUGCGUCCGAUUAGCUUGUUGGUGAGGUAAUGGCUCACCAAGGCGACGAUCGGUAGCUGGUCUGAGAGGAUGAUCAGCCAGACUGGAACUGAGAACGGUCCAGACUCCUACGGGAGGCAGCAGUAGGGAAUUUUCCACAAUGGGCGAGAGCCUGAUGGAGCAACGCCGCGUGCAGGAUGAAUGCCUUCGGGUUGUAAACUGCUUUUAUGUGCGAAGAAUUUGACUGUAACACAUGAAUAAGGAUCGGCUAACUACGUG
Molecule: ribosomal RNA, 447 nt
Filed under: uncultured bacterium
Lineage: Bacteria
Description: bacterial SSU rRNA
Rfam family: Bacterial small subunit ribosomal RNA
Source: RNAcentral